Oncorhynchus tshawytscha (Chinook salmon) is the source of this 565-nucleotide long non-coding RNA. The record is from Ensembl. NCBI's taxonomy places the organism in Eukaryota, Metazoa, Chordata, Actinopteri, Salmoniformes, Salmonidae.
UGGCAGGCGAAAAACGAGUCCAGCAAGUUAGAAAAAAUUCCAAGUGUAAUUUUCCGCCAUCGUACAAAACCCCCUCUGCCCAGGAGUUGCUCAUCUUUAGUUCUCAGAAAGAGAGGAGAAGUUGUUUGUGCAUAUUUUCUCAUCUGAGUAGUCUACAGGUCCUAGCAGACACAACGUCUCUGAUAUUCUCAGAGACCUAAAAGGACAUGGAUAUGAAGCCUCUGAUGAUUCUCCUCCUGCUAGCAGCUGUCACCACCACCGCCCCUGCAGCAGCUGGUACCACCACCGCCCCUGCAGCACCUCUCACCACCACCGCCCCUGCAGCAGCUGUCACCACCACCGCCCCUGCAGCAGCUGGUACCACCACCGCCCCUGCAGCAGCUGGUACCACCACCGCCCCUGCAGCAGCUGUCACCACCACAACUCAUGCAGCACCUCUCACCACUACCGCCCCUGCAGCAUCUGUCACAACCACCACUCAUGCAGCACCUCUCACCACUACCGCCCCUGCAGCUGCUGUCACCACCACCACUCAUGCAGCACCUCUCACCACUACCGCCCCUGC